ACCUCUAAAGGAGCAGCCGCUGAGCCAUCUUUAAAAUAAAUCUUUAAAAAGGAAUAAACUUAGUGUGAGCUAAGCCAAGCAAAGACGGGAUUGAUAGGGACUUUUAUCAGUGCUGGCUGUUCCUGAGAAGGCGAGUGACCUCAGGAGGCAGGACUAUAGGGAAUACCUGGUCUGCAGCGUGAUGAGGGCACCAGGCAGACCGUUGAGGCAAAGAGAUGUGCUUGAGUUGAUUUUGUGCGGGGACUGGGGAGUGAACCCAGGCCUCAAGCAUGCUGAACACAUACUCUAUAGCAGAGCUAGACCCCAGUCCAAACAAGGUUGUGUAGGAAGGGCAGUGGGCCUUGCCCUGCCUAGUGUUUCCUAAAAUGUAGCUCUCGAGAUUCUGUUAGAACUCAGGCUGUUUCAGAAAUCAUGGUUUACUGGCUAUAAUUAGGAAUAGCAAGUCAUUGUUUCAUAGUGAUAUUAAAUUUUCUGUUUUAAAUAAAUUUGCUUCAGAAAAUCAACAAUUCAAAGAAAUGCUCAGUGAAGGAUAGGGCAGAUGGUAUGUGACUGCAGCACCCAAGCAAGCAGCUGUGGGAGGCACUGGCCCCGUGGCCUUUGAGAAACUUGGGACCAGGUAGGUGACACCAGACUGGGAAACUUGAGAGUGCCCGUGGUUGACCACAGGGCCUGGACCAGCCAUAAACGCAAUCAGACUUCUACCGUAUCUCACUGCUUCUAGUUUUAAAACAAAAGCCAGCAUUAAGAUUUUUCCCUCAGAAAUCUCCUCGUUGGAAAAUCCUGGCACCUGAUUCAAAUUUUGAAAAACAUUGUACAAUGUGUCCAUAGGGGUCCCAUUGGUGACGCCUGCUCCAGAUGGUGAGAAAGAGACUCAACUCCAGACUGACAGCUCUGCCUGCUACAGCAGGGCUGAGUGAAAAUGGGGAGGGGGCUAGAGAGCGAAGGCCAGGCAGAACCGAGCCAGAGGUAAUGCAGAGGUAGUGGACAGCCCUACCUUUUAAGCAAGGGAUUCAGUUGGUUAGUUUUGGGGGAAUUUUUGUUGUGUGUAUGUGUGUGUUCCUGUGUGCACAUAAGAGGAGGUAGGAAUGUGGGUUUACCUUCCCUCCUUGAUGGAGACAAGGUCUCCUUGCUGAAGCCAAACUAGCUGGUCCUAGAGAUUCUUGGGAUUCUCUUGUCUGUGCCUCCCACUCCCCCAGUGGAGCAUCAUGGGAGUUACAGACACUUGUGCCAGCGUGUCUGGCUUGGGGGGUGGGGUGGGCAGGGGGGCUGAACUCAGAGCAUCAGGUUUGCCCAGCAAGCACUCUUUCCCAUUGAGGCUCCAGAGCCACCCAAGCAAAGGUGGGUUUUAAAUCCCGUGCCAAUUAGUUGUAUGGAUCUUCCAACAUAACUUUACUGACCUCAGGGAAGAGGGAGAUGUGGUUUUCUGUGUGAGCUAUAAGCAGCAGAGAGUGGCUUGGUGCCUAACCUAGGAUAAAUGAUUGGAGAAUAACUAGUAACUCCCCACUCCCCCACCCCACUACACACACACACACACACACACACACACACACACACACACACACACACCUCUGAGUCUGUUUCUGUUCCUGCAUUCCCCGUCCUGGAAUAAUUCAACACAAAGUGAUGCUCAUUAGAUGAAAAUCUCGAGCCAGCAGCUGAGCUUUUAAAAAGAUGAGUUCUUAAGUAAUUUGUCCCAAAGAUGGGCUUGACAUGAAGUUGGCAGAAUGAUUAGCAGGUCAUUGCGUGGGAGC
Molecule: long non-coding RNA, 1751 nt
Filed under: Mus musculus (house mouse)
Lineage: Eukaryota; Metazoa; Chordata; Mammalia; Rodentia; Muridae
Description: long non-coding RNA chr7:96759541-96761292
Source: RNAcentral